GCCGGAGGGGGACGCACCCCUCUCAGUGCGUGGCAUCUCAGGGUCCAGUGCACCCCCACUCUGUGUGUUUGUGUGGGGAAGCCGAGCCGCCCCCCUAUCCCCUGCCGAUGCCGCACCGCUUCUGGCCGUAGCAGGGUCAGGCACCUACCUACGUAGGGAGCUCGUAGCAAUGUAUCGCUGCUGAUGCCGGCGGUGAGGCCGCGGAUGGCGUUGCGUGUGAGAGAUCCCCGACAGUGGGCACGCGUGUACCACCCGUGUGAUGGGGAGGGUGUCGGCGUGACUCGAAUGUAUCCCGCCCGGCCCUCGCACUGCCUCCCGGUGCGGGGAGCCUGAGUCACCGGGAGGGGGAUGAACCAGGUGGCGACCGACACGAUGUGCGCGGCUGUGAGGUGCCCUGUGAAGCAGGGGCGGGCAGAGUGUGAGGCAGGGGCCCUGCUCUCAGAUGACUGUGUCGACGGCUGCUUCGCACGAGGCGAUGGGGCCCUGUGGCAGGCCGAGUGGAGUAGUGUAUGGCUGAUGCGCUGCGGCAGAGAAGUGGGCACGCUGAUCAAAAAACCGGAUAGGGGCCCUUCGGACUUGCCACCGUGACAAACACCCAAAAGACACGCCACAAAUCUUUUUUUUUUAUGGGGCAAUUCUGCAGCAAACACUCCAAGACGUAUUUGCAUGCAACCACAGCUCGACUACCUCCACGGCACCAUGGCUGAAUCCUCGUCGUCUAGGACGUACCGUCUGCCAUUGACGUGAUGCAUGCAUCUAAAAGGCUGCUUGGUUCUUCUCGGUCUCCUUUUUUCUUUGGGUGCGUGCUGCGCUUCAGCAGGACGGCGCUGCAAAGAAAACUGCGAACCCCCCUUUGGGGGGGGGCUAACACUUGCUUAGAGUGACUCAGCGCCGCACUGAUACUCGUGCGAGUUUCUCGCUCUCUCGACCUCCUUAGCCCUUCACCUCUGACGCGUGCGCGCCUACUGUCUGGAGCUCUCCCCUCUCCGCUGCUUCUGCUGCUCUGUCUGACGACGCCGCUGGGGAGGGGGAUCAGCUGGCAAAGGACUGCGGCGCCCUUUCAUGCAAUGCGUGCCCGGAGAGAAAGUGACGGGACGGAGUGUGCUCCUGCUGAAACUUUCGCUGACCCUUCAGCGCCAGUGCUGGGUCUUCGAAACAAAAAGCGACACGGCCCUCGUGUAUCUUUCCCCCCUUUUCCUCCAUUCGCAGCGCUUCUUCAACUCAUCUGCCUUCUCUCGUCUACCUCUCUCUUCGCCUUCGCCCUUGUGGUGCGUCCGCUCUCCGCACUCUACUGCCCUGCCGGGGCAUGACGGUGCCCCCUUGCCCAUCCAUGAUGGCCGUGCGCACAUCCAUGCCGACUCGCUCGCAUACACACCCACCAACUGCUGUCGGGGCUGCGCAG
This 1402-nucleotide unclassified non-coding RNA is filed under the name Leishmania donovani. RNAcentral describes it as "gene:unknown". The record is from RNAcentral. Lineage: Eukaryota; Euglenozoa; Kinetoplastea; Trypanosomatida; Trypanosomatidae.